This 164-nucleotide ribosomal RNA is filed under the name uncultured bacterium. RNAcentral describes it as "partial 16S ribosomal RNA". It matches the Rfam family "Bacterial small subunit ribosomal RNA", at positions 355 to 511 of the family's 1533-position model. The record is from RNAcentral.
UAGGGAAUCUUCCACAAUGGACGCAAGUCUGAUGGAGCAACGCCGCGUGAGUGAAGAAGGGUUUCGGCUCGUAAAACACUGUUGUAAGAGAAGAAUGACAUUGAGAGUAACUGUUCAAUGUGUGACGGUAUCUUACCAGAAAGGAACGGCUAAAUACGUGCCAG